AACGAACGCUGGCGGCAGGCCUAACACAUGCAAGUCGAACGCCGUAGCAAUACGGAGUGGCAGACGGGUGAGUAACACGUGGGAACGUACCCUUCGGUUCGGAAUAACUCAGGGAAACUUGAGCUAAUACCGGAUACGUCCGAGAGGAGAAAGAUUUAUCGCCGAGGGAUCGGCCCGCGUCUGAUUAGCUUGUUGGUGAGGUAACGGCUCACCAAGGCGACGAUCAGUAGCUGGUCNGAGAGGAUGAUCAGCCACAUUGGGACUGAGACACGGCCCAAACUCCUACGGGAGGCAGCAGUGGGGAAUAUUGGACAAUGGGCGCAAGCCUGAUCCAGCCAUGCCGCGUGAGUGAUGAAGGCCCUAGGGUUGUAAAGCUCUUUUACCCGGGAAGAUAAUGACUGUACCGGGAGAAUAAGCCCCGGCUAACUUCGUGCCAGCCGCCGCGGUAAG
RNAcentral lists this ribosomal RNA (450 nucleotides) under uncultured bacterium. RNAcentral describes it as "bacterial SSU rRNA". It matches the Rfam family "Bacterial small subunit ribosomal RNA", at positions 29 to 524 of the family's 1533-position model. The record is from RNAcentral.